Solanum pennellii is the source of this 324-nucleotide long non-coding RNA. RefSeq lists it as uncharacterized. The transcript is spliced from 2 exons. Lineage: Eukaryota; Viridiplantae; Streptophyta; Magnoliopsida; Solanales; Solanaceae. The record is from RefSeq and is a predicted model, not a curated record.
AAUGUCAAUUGGCCAACAUCAUUUUCUGAUACAGAAGUAGGUAACCAGGACCAUCACCCAGCGCCUCGUUGAUCUAGUUUACCAAUCAUAGUUAGUUGGUUUUGGCCGUUGAGGAGAUUGUGGCCAUUUGCAAGGAAGGCUUGGAAUCAUUCUCCAAGUGUGACUGUAUCCUCAAGUCCGAAGAUGAUGCCUUGUUCUUACUCUAGCUAUGUUUCUUUGUUAUAGUCUAAAGAUGAUCAUUUCAUUCUACUUGUUUCAAGAUAUUGUUGUAAGCCCUAAGUGGCAUUUAUACAUCGUGCAAGGGCUUAUGCCCAUAUUGUUCAA